GAUGAACGCUGGCGGCGUGCCUAAUACAUGCAAGUCGAGCGAACAGACGAGGAGCUUGCUCCUCUGACGUUAGCGGCGGACGGGUGAGUAACACGUGGAUAACCUACCUAUAAGACUGGGAUAACUUCGGGAAACCGGAGCUAAUACCGGAUAAUAUAUUGAACCGCAUGGUUCAAUAGUGAAAGACGGUUUUGCUGUCACUUAUAGAUGGAUCCGCGCCGCAUUAGCUAGUUGGUAAGGUAACGGCUACCAAGGCAACGAUGCGUAGCCGACCUGAGAGGGUGAUCGGCCACACUGGAACUGAGACACGGUCCAGACUCCUACGGGAGGCAGCAGUAGGGAAUCUUCCGCAAUGGGCGAAAGCCUGACGGAGCAACGCCGCGUGAGUGAUGAAGGUCUUCGGAUCGUAAAACUCUGUUAUUAGGGAAGAACAAAUGUGUAAGUAACUAUGCACGUCUUGACGGUACCUAAUCAGAAAGCAACGGCUAACUACGUG
Molecule: ribosomal RNA, 496 nt
Filed under: uncultured bacterium
Lineage: Bacteria
Description: partial 16S ribosomal RNA
Rfam family: Bacterial small subunit ribosomal RNA
Source: RNAcentral